UGUUCGGAUGCUACAACAGGGCAUUACUGUGUCCCAUCAAAUAAUUCGUUCACAUGCCAGUGUCGUACAUACGAUGCAUUUUUCAUGGAAGGAGCCGCAUGCGAAAACCGACGUAGGUUUGCUCUUACUGUCGUGAUCACAUUGUUGACUGAGACAUACCGGCCAGUGUACAUCAAUCCGUGGUCUUCUGCAUUCAGAGCCAAAGCAGCCCUUUAUAAACGACUGGUGUUGUGGCUACCAUGGCAUUACUAGACCCAGCUACUCCACCAAGAGUUGAUGUACAAAGCGUCUUAUCGGAAAACAUACCGACGACCGAUGGUGAUGUUAUGAUACCCAUCAACCCAAGGCACCUGAAGUCAAUGGUUGUGUCAUGUGACUGCACACCUGGCUGGUCAGGUGACUCCUGUGAGGUGAACUACGACGCCUGUCAAGACAACCCUGCUUCCUUGGAGUGGCGUGUUUUGAUGAUGACCCACCGUCUCUAGAUUUCACCUGCGGAUCUUGUCCUGAAGAAACGGAGGGAGACGGCAAGUCCUGCAUUGACCGACGUAGGUUUGCUCUUACUGUCGUGAUCACAUUGUUGACUGAGACAUACCGGCCAGUGUACAUCAAUCCGUGGUCUUCUGCAUUCAGAGCCAAAGCAGCCCUUUAUAAACGACUGGCUGAGUUGUGGUUGAGAGAGGACCCAGCAACCGAUGAUGUGACAUCAGCAGACUGUGUUUCCCUCGGACCAGGAGGUGCCAUGGCUACUGUACCCAGCUACACCAUCAAGAACCGACGUAGGCCUACAAAGAGUCUUAGACCGUUGACCGAUGGUGACGUAAUGAGACCCAUCAACCCCAGGCACCUGAAGUCAAUGUUGUGGGACUUCAUUCACCGGUGAACGCUGCCAAACAGUCAUUCCAGUCCCCACUGAAGUUCCAACAGCGACAACAACAGAGUCACCAGGUGACAAUAUGGACAUCUCAGGCUGUGUCCCAUAGGGCUGGCAGUCACCCAGGGUUUGUCAAGCAGACAUGAUUUCUUCAGACCGUUCAUCGUGACCAGAGGGAUUUUACCAAAAUUUUGUCAGGCAUUUUAAAA
This 1083-nucleotide unclassified non-coding RNA is filed under the name Patiria miniata (bat star). RNAcentral's name for it is "nACHT, LRR and PYD domains-containing protein 3-like, transcript variant X1". The record is from RNAcentral. Lineage: Eukaryota; Metazoa; Echinodermata; Asteroidea; Valvatida; Asterinidae.